GAAGGAAUAAAUAUUAUUUUUUUUUCCCCCUCAAAGGUCCCUGUUUGGAAGAAGCCCAAGGAUUAACUCUUUGUGCCUCAGCCUGAUUUCACAGUGUGUCACCUCUCGCACUUGUCCUCAUCAAUCAUUGACACAGGACCAGGCCUCAGACAGACCCCAGGGCUUUCCCAGGAAUCCCUGCUGCUUGGUUGGAAAGCCAGGUCCAGACCAUGGGGUUCUGAAACACAGCUCAGUUACCAGAUGGCUUUGUUGUUGCUGAUGGA
RNAcentral lists this long non-coding RNA (263 nucleotides) under Ictidomys tridecemlineatus (thirteen-lined ground squirrel). RNAcentral's name for it is "lncRNA (ENSSTOG00000032775.1)". Lineage: Eukaryota; Metazoa; Chordata; Mammalia; Rodentia; Sciuridae. The record is from RNAcentral.